This 135-nucleotide ribosomal RNA is filed under the name Desulfobulbaceae bacterium. Its description in RNAcentral is "partial 16S ribosomal RNA". It matches the Rfam family "Bacterial small subunit ribosomal RNA", at positions 1 to 132 of the family's 1533-position model. The record is from RNAcentral. Lineage: Bacteria; Pseudomonadati; Thermodesulfobacteriota; Desulfobulbia; Desulfobulbales; Desulfobulbaceae.
UAAACUGGAGAGUUUGAUCCUGGCUCAGAACGAACGCUGGCGGCGUGCUUAACACAUGCAAGUCGAACGAGAAAGAGUUCUUCGGAACUUGAGUAAAGUGGCGCACGGGUGAGUAACGCGUAGAUAACCUGCCCU